CCGACUGCCACCCUUCUCAGAAGCAAAGUGCCAGGCUUGAUUCCUGCAUCCGCUGCACCUCGGGGUGUGCAUGCCAAGAGAUCAUGGUGCUCCGGUGUUGGGGGUUCAGAGUCUUUGAAGGCACACCCUUAGGAUGACUAGAUAGCACUAGUUACCCCGGGGCCUGUCACCUCCUGACUCUCACAGCUUCCCAUGUGGCCGGGUUCCCCAGAGGGUUCUGGGUCGGCCUGUCAUGUCCUCCCUGUCAUGACUCCUGGAGAGCGUGUCAGAGCAUUUUGUUUCUCUCCCAUCUUGCUUAACCUCGUCUCACUGAUCUUUCUCAAGCAGUGGUUUUAAAAAUAAAGGACCGCCUCCUCUUGCUUGAAAUUCCCUUCUCCUGAAACAUCUCUGCCAUCAAUAGGGCCGGCCUCCGGGACGCCCUAGCGCUGCUACAGGCUGCUGGCAAUAACGUUGCUCUCUGCGCUGGGAAGAGGUCUGCCGCUGCUCCUGCCCCUUCACAUUCCUGUCCUGGUGUUGGGGGGUGCCUAGGCCGGGUUUGGAGGGGCCUGUAGGAGUUAAGCUGCCCCAUUUGGACUUGCUUCCUGGGUCAGUCUACCCUUUAUGUAUCCUGGAGGAGGGGCGUCUGAUGGAGGCGGGGAUGGAUCCAGAACCGAGGCUGGAGGAAGCGUCAGCUUGCAGGCAGCAGCAUCCAGCAGAAUAUCUGCUUCAGCAAGAGCGAAGAACAGGAUACAUGUGACCUAGAAAUACAGUGUGCAGGAUGCUGUGAAUGUGGCCAGAACAUCAUUCAUUCAUUCAACAACGCAUUCCUUCAUCCAUUCAAUAAGAAUUUACAGAGCUCUUCCACAACUCCAGGGACUAGGAAGAAUGAGGUACUAUGUGUAGUAGUUAAGGUGCUUUUCAAGUCAGGACUGGAGCAGAACAGUCUUAAAAUCAUACAGCAUCCCCAGCAGGGAGCUGGGCAGCACUUGCUGUUGUCGUUCAGUCACUAAGUUGUGUCUGACUCUUUGUGACUAUGGAGUGCAGCAUGCCAGGCUCCUCUGACCUCCAGUAUCUCCUGGAGUUUGCUCAAGUUCAUGUCCACUGAGUUGGUGAUGCUAUCUAAACAUCUCAUCCUCUGCCACCCCCUUUUCCUUUUG
This 1136-nucleotide long non-coding RNA is filed under the name Bos indicus x Bos taurus (hybrid cattle). RNAcentral's name for it is "lncRNA (ENSBIXG00000000709.1)". Lineage: Eukaryota; Metazoa; Chordata; Mammalia; Artiodactyla; Bovidae. The record is from RNAcentral.